UCGGUGACUGGGUCAGCCGACUGUCACCUGGGGCACUCAUACCCUGACCGCCUGGGCGGCAGGCAACUCGGAAAGUAUGCCUGGCAUCUUUGUAAGGGUAACACGACACAAAAUCAGGCGGACCAGGUAAGCCGAGAGCACGUCCAGCAGAGGAGAACCUAAGCCGAGUGAACGACCGUAAGCGGCACGACCGUACAAUACCGAGAUCUCUAAAUGAGUCAACAACAUCAAGACAAGGGACGAGAACGUCCCUUUGGGAGAAUAUUAAAUUUGUAAAGGUAAUCGGGCUCAGGCAAGGACUUGAAGCUACAAAUUUGAAAUCUGAAGAGCAAAUGUUACACGCAGACGAAUUUUGUGACACAGACGCUUCUUAAAUUGCUGUCUCUAGGAAUUUCUGGUUGAAGUAAAAGUUCAGGACUGCUAUCUCAAAGUAAAAAAAUGAGUGGUUCACGACCAAAUGAAACACAAGGGGUAUAAAACUGAGCCAGAUCUGCAGUCCUUCAUUUAUUGUAGCAAAGACUGGAAAGCACAGACGGAAAAUGAAGGAUGUGGGUUUUUCAAAAUUAGUAGAGACCAGAUUUGAUUGGGGAAGAAUCAAAAUCUGAAAAUCUUGACUACAGACAUGAAAAAAUAAACCAAGAAAAUCCGCAAAACAGGAGACAUACAUGCUGAUCCGUUGACAUGGGAACAGCUCUGAGCCUGGGGAGACACAUCUGCUCCUGGCAGCACCAAUCUGCUUCAUAUGAAGCUUCAUCUGCUUCAUAAUAUGGGCAUUGAAGAAUCUCCAUAUGGCGUUUGCUUUCAUUGUGGCAAAGCAGCUACUUUGGUAAACAGCAACAGUGGUGCAGAUGAAAUGCAGAACCCAAGUUUAAUCCUGAAACAUAACGGAAAGAACUAACUCUGGCCUCCACACACAACCCUGAAAUAAAUCCGUGUUAGCUUUUGUCUUUCCAGUCAGGGUUUCUCUGUGUAGGCAUGACUGCCCUGGAACUCACUCCGUAGAACAAGGCUGCCUCUGCUUCCUGAGUGUUGGGAUUAAAGGUGUAUGCCACCACUGCCUGGCUAUACAUGUAAUUAAAAAAAAAAAAAAAAAGAACUAUUGGGAUGAUUCAGCCACUCAGCCUAAUGACCUGAAUGUGACCUCAAGAAUCCACAUAGCAGAAAGUAAGAACUGACCCCUGAACUCUGUCCUUUGAUUUCUACAUCCAUACUGUGGCACAAUCAGAUUAUAAACACAAACUAAAAUAAAUAGUUAUAACAAAACCAAACAUAUCAACACAAAAUGCAUCAAAAAAUGUUGAGAGCAUUUUAGAAUAGAAACAAUCAAAACAUCAACUGAUGAUGGUAAAUGUGGUCAAUUGCUUUGAAAAAAAGAGAAGCAAGAAAUUUACUAGCUGUCAGUGACACUCCUGCUAAACAAGCUCUGUUAUUUAACCACCAUUGAGUGGUGUUUAAGUCAGAACUGAUUUAACCUGACUUGCAUCUACUUCAUUAAGGAAAACAAAAAAGAAUGGUGAAUGGAGCUCUGGACUUAUAUGUGAAUGGUUACCCCUAAUGUGGCCAGCAAGGUACACAUUGUCUAAAAUUGUUGAACUGUCAGGAAGAGGCUGACUUAGUGGUCUAUGCUUGUAAUCCCAGCAUUUAGGAACUAGACCAGUUACGGGCCAGACUGAAAUAGGUAGUGAAUAGGCCUUUUCUCAAAUACUGUACAGACAAAUCUGCCUGCUUUUAUGAUGAGUGUGUGGGACCGAUCUCAACAUGGUAGCGAAGCAGGAAUCCCUGAAAAAUGCUCUGGGCGCUGAAGACAAGAUCUCAUUCCUUUUCUGUGCUUAGGCCAAGUAGUCCGUUACUGGACAGUGCUCUCAAAUGUGCUUUGGGCCCCUACUGCUUAACCUCAGUACCAUACCCUUCCUUCUGCUAACAGCCAUUAGAGUCUCCAGAUAUUGUCAAAUGUCUCAUCAGAUUCAAGAGUGACAAGAUUGAGACCCACUGGGCUAGUUGAUAAAUCAAUAGUCUAGUUUUCUAUUAAAUAUUAGUAAGUGGCCAAGCUUUGAUCUAGCACAUCCUGAUCUUUGUUUUUGGUAGUGAGCUGUAUUACCUGUUUUAUCAUCUCUUAUUAAAUAUUUUACACAUUUAUUA
This is a non-coding RNA of Myodes glareolus (Bank vole), 2139 nucleotides long. The record is from RefSeq and is a predicted model, not a curated record. NCBI's taxonomy places the organism in Eukaryota, Metazoa, Chordata, Mammalia, Rodentia, Cricetidae.